CGAUAACGAACGAGACCUUAACCUACUAAAUAGUGCUGCUAGCAUUUGCUGGUUUGUCACUUCUUAGAGGGACUAUCGGUUUCAAGCCGAUGGAAGUUUGAGGCAAUAACAGGUCUGUGAUGCCCUUAGACGUUCUGGGCCGCACGCGCGCUACACUGACGGAGCCAGCGAGUAUAACCUUGGCCGAGAGGUCUGGGUACUCUUCUGAAACUCCGUCGUGCUGGGGAUAGAGCAUUGUAAUUAUUGGUCUUCAACGAGGAAUUCCUAGUAAGCGCGAGUCAUCGGCUUGCGUUGAUUACGUCCUUGCCCUUUGUACACACCGCCCGUCGCUAGUACCGAUUGAAUGGCU
Molecule: ribosomal RNA, 349 nt
Filed under: uncultured Lachancea
Lineage: Eukaryota; Fungi; Ascomycota; Saccharomycetes; Saccharomycetales; Saccharomycetaceae
Description: SSU rRNA
Rfam family: Eukaryotic small subunit ribosomal RNA
Source: RNAcentral